RNAcentral lists this ribosomal RNA (433 nucleotides) under uncultured bacterium. RNAcentral's name for it is "partial 16S ribosomal RNA". It matches the Rfam family "Bacterial small subunit ribosomal RNA", at positions 29 to 507 of the family's 1533-position model. The record is from RNAcentral.
AACGAACGCUGGCGGCAUGCCUAACACAUGCAAGUCGAACGAGACCUUCGGGUCUAGUGGCGCACGGGUGCGUAACGCGUGGGAACCUGCCUUUAGGUUCGGAAUAACUCAGAGAAAUUUGAGCUAAUACCGGAUGAUGUCUUCGGACCAAAGAUUUAUCGCCCUUAGAUGGGCCCGCGUUGGAUUAGCUAGUUGGUGGGGUAAAGGCCUACCAAGGCGACGAUCCAUAGCUGGUCUGAGAGGAUGAUCAGCCACACUGGGACUGAGACACGGCCCAGACUCCUACGGGAGGCAGCAGUGGGGAAUAUUGGACAAUGGGCGAAAGCCUGAUCCAGCAAUGCCGCGUGAGUGAUGAAGGCCUUAGGGUUGUAAAGCUCUUUUACCCGAGAUGAUAAUGACAGUAUCGGGAGAAUAAGCUCCGGCUAACUCCGUG